This 391-nucleotide ribosomal RNA is filed under the name uncultured bacterium. RNAcentral describes it as "bacterial SSU rRNA". It matches the Rfam family "Bacterial small subunit ribosomal RNA", at positions 28 to 420 of the family's 1533-position model. The record is from RNAcentral.
GACGAACGCUGGCGGCGUGCUUAACACAUGCAAGUCGAGCGGUAAGGCCCUUUCGGGGGUACACGAGCGGCGAACGGGUGAGUAACACGUGGGUGACCUGCCCUUAGCUCUGGGAUAAGCCUGGGAAACUGGGUCUAAUACCGGAUAUGACUCCAUGACGCAUGUUGUGGGGUGGAAAGCCUUGUGCGGCUAGGGAUGGGCCCGCGGCCUAUCAGCUUGUUGGUGGGGUGAUGGCCUACCAAGGCGACGACGGGUAGCCGGCCUGAGAGGGCGACCGGCCACACUGGGACUGAGACACGGCCCAGACUCCUACGGGAGGCAGCAGUGGGGAAUCUUGCGCAAUGGGCGAAAGCCUGACGCAGCGACGCCGCGUGAGGGAUGACGGCCUCGG